GUUUACUGAAGUUUUCUAAGGGAGGCUGUCUCUUAUACCAAUGAGGAUGAGCAGGUCACCUGCCAGAACAAGCCCAGAGGUGGCCUUACUUGGGGUUUGCUGAUCAAUGACUCUGGAGCUAUGAGAACUCAGGGUCCUGGACUGAGUCACUCGGAAGUUGGGCUGUGUGGCUCCGCCCUGGGUUCCAGCAUCGUGCUGUGAUUUACUGUCCCUGACUCAACCUCCCCAAAGCUUACUUUCUUUUCCUCAGCCUGUGAUGGCCAAAAUCGAGCUGUUGGCAAAUCACAGUUCACACCCCAACUUUUCAGUCUUUUAGUCUCUAAUUCUUGCUGCUUCACUUCAGAGUCCAAGAACAACAGUGUAAUGAUUCAUCAGUCCCCGCUUCCUGCAAGUAAUCAUUUUCCCACGCUCAGUCUGGUCUGUGUGAUGCAGUUUUCUCAUCGAGUUGGCUCUGUUUGGGAAGCGGCAGCCACUACCUCCUGCAGAAGCUCUACCGCUUUCACACAAAUGAGCGAGUCCCCGCUUGCUAGCUCAAAGGAUCAUGCUCAUGAGCAGCUAUGGACAAGGUUGAGAAACUACCUGGAAGCCAGAAAAUGCCAUCUGUAUGCCACUUCAGAAUAUCAGUUGCCAGAGACUAGACCCCAGUAGCAGUGAUACAGUGUUUUCUCUGUUUGGAUGGACACAAGGGCUUUCAUCACAAUGGAAUGCUUAUGGAAUUGCAUGUUUCAAAGGACACUCACAUGAAAAUACAAAUUCAUUCAAAGUCAGGUUACAAUGAUGAAUAGCAAGGCUGCAACGAG
This 800-nucleotide long non-coding RNA is filed under the name Meriones unguiculatus (Mongolian gerbil). Its description in RNAcentral is "lncRNA (ENSMUGG00000001997.1)". Lineage: Eukaryota; Metazoa; Chordata; Mammalia; Rodentia; Muridae. The record is from RNAcentral.